AUGAACGCUGGCGGCAGGCCUAACACAUGCAAGUCGAACGGUAACAGGAAGAAGCUUGCUUCUUUGCUGACGAGUGGCGGACGGGUGAGUUAUGGCUGGGAAAAUUGGCCUGAUGGAGGGGGAUAACUACUGGAAACGGUAGCUAAUACCGCAUAACGUCGCAAGACCAAAGAGGGGGACCUUCGGGCCUCUUGCCAUCGGAUGUGCCCAGAUGGGAUUAGCUAGUAGGUGGGGUAACGGCUCACCUAGGCGACGAUCCCUAGCUGGUCUGAGAGGAUGACCAGCCACACUGGAACUGAGACACGGUCCAGACUCCUACGGGAGGCAGCAGUGGGGAAUAUUGCACAAUGGGCGCAAGCCUGAUGCAGCCAUGCCGCGUGUAUGAAGAAGGCCUUCGGGUUGUAAAGUACUUUCAGCGGGGAGGA
This 425-nucleotide ribosomal RNA is filed under the name uncultured Escherichia sp. RNAcentral describes it as "bacterial SSU rRNA". It matches the Rfam family "Bacterial small subunit ribosomal RNA", at positions 29 to 448 of the family's 1533-position model. The record is from RNAcentral. Lineage: Bacteria; Pseudomonadati; Pseudomonadota; Gammaproteobacteria; Enterobacterales; Enterobacteriaceae.